AAAUAAAGAUAUAACAAUUUUUUGGUAAAAUAUUUCUACCAGUGCCUACUUACUAGCAACCAAAACAAGAUGGAUAUAUUUAUAGGUUUAAGUUCAAGCACCGAAGAGACAAACUUUAGCCAUAAAAUACUUAUGAACACUAAUUUAUGAAAAGCGAAGUGGGUUUUUAACUGUUGAAAUUUUGGGGAGAUCUAGGUUAAUUUGGAUGGAAGUUGUGAAAAAGGAUGUGUAUGAGCUUGCAAUAAGACAUCAGAAUUAGCUCUUCACAGAAAAGAUUGUCUACGAAGCACUUGUGUAAGAUUAGCCGCGACUAGUUAUGGAGAGGCUUGAUGGCUGUUAUUCCUAUCUCCAGGCUUGGAGGUUGCUGAAAAUAUACUCAGAAGGCUUGUUGAUCAAAGUCCAUUUCAAGAUUCUCUCACCAUGACAGAGAACAGACACCAGAAACAAGACCAAAGGUACAUAGAAUGGGUAGCCAGGUGGUUUCAUCCUGGCAACCGAGCCAUCAGCUCUAGUGUUGCUUGCUUUCUUCCUCUAAAAGAGGUUUAGCUUCACAAUAGAUUGAUCAAUUCAUCCUAAAUAUACCAACUUUUAUUGGAGUUUUCAUGCUUGCACAUGUGAGGUCAAUCCUCUUAUUUCUGUCCGUGGGGCUCAUGAUCUUCAUGUAUCAGUGAUGUUUCAGUGUUGGCUGAUCAUAAUUUUGGAUGAAACCAAUGUUCGCUUGCUCCUUCAAAAAUGGAUGUUCAUUCUCUGACAAGGUACCAGCAGAUUCUUCUUCUUCUUCUUCUUCUUUUUCUUUUAUUAAAAAAAUCU
Non-coding RNA from Phoenix dactylifera (date palm), 810 nucleotides. The record is from RefSeq and is a predicted model, not a curated record. NCBI's taxonomy places the organism in Eukaryota, Viridiplantae, Streptophyta, Magnoliopsida, Arecales, Arecaceae.